UCAUCAAUAAAAUAUCCACUUCAGUGGUUGGGGAGCUUUAGUUUUGUGGUUGAGGUCCGGGUUCGAAUAUUUGUGUUGGUGAAAUUAAUCUUUUUCUUGGUUCUAGUAUAGGCCGACCUUAUUGUGUGGUUUUAUAGGUACUGGGAUAUGUUUGAAUAUCUUACUAUAAUAAAAGAAAAAUAAAAAGACCAUUAUUUUAUUUGGUUUUAUUUUAUUUUUAUUUUAUUUUUCCUUGAUUCUCUCAAAGUCUGCUCCAACUUUUUGUUUCAAGUUGGUUACCCCUCAUUCCCCAUUUGUUUUACACAUCGCUUGUUCUGUUUUUUGCUAUCGAAAUCUAUCUUCUUCUUUAUUUGAUUUUUCCCUUCUAUUUCGUCUUUCUUUUAUUCUUCAAUUUUUGCUACUGCUAAUUCUUGAAGAGUUAAUCCUUGUUUUGUGGGGUAUGUGCUAAAGGUGAAGUUUAAGAGACGUUUAAUUCACCGGAAAAUUAGGAUUUGAAGAAGUGAUGUUCGUCCAAGGGUAAUCCCCAGCCUUACGAUUUGGAGCCGCGAGGGACUCGGAGGUGGCCACAUGACCGCUGAUGCUUUGCUGUAGACUUUUUAUUUGAAUUUUAUAUUUUAAUCUUUUAAUUAUGUAAUAAGGCCAUUGAGGGAUUAAAUUUUUAAUUGGGCUUUUUAUUUAAAA
Gossypium arboreum is the source of this 681-nucleotide long non-coding RNA. RefSeq lists it as uncharacterized. The transcript has 3 exons. Lineage: Eukaryota; Viridiplantae; Streptophyta; Magnoliopsida; Malvales; Malvaceae. The record is from RefSeq and is a predicted model, not a curated record.